CGUGCUUAACACAUGCAAGUCGAACGAAGAUAUUUAGAAUGAGAGCUUCGGCAGGAUUUUUAUCUAUCUUAGUGGCGGACGGGUGAGUAACGUGUGGGCAACCUGCCCUGUACUGUGGAAUAAUCAUUGGAAACGAUGACUAAUACCGCAUGUGGUCCUCGGAAGGCAUCUUCUGAGGAAGAAAGGAUUUAUUCGGUACAGGAUGGGCCCGCAUCUGAUUAGCUAGUUGGUGAGAUAACAGCCCACCAAGGCGACGAUCAGUAGCCGACCUGAGAGGGUGAUCGGCCACAUUGGGACUGAGACACGGCCCAAACUCCUACGGGAGGCAGCAGUGGGGAAUAUUGCACAAUGGGCGAAAGCCUGAUGCAGCAACGCCGCGUGAAGGAUGAAGGGUUUCGGCUCGUAAACUUCUAUCAAUAGGGAAGAAACAAAUGACGGUACCUAAAUAAGAAGCCCCGGCUAACUACGUGCCAGCAGCCGCGGUAAUACGUAGGGGGCAAGCGUUAUCCGGAAUUACUGGGUGUAAAGGGAGCGUAGGCGGCAUGGUAAGCCAGAUGUGAAAGCCUUGGGCUUAACCCGAGGAUUGCAUUUGGAACUAUCAAGCUAGAGUACAGGAGAGGAAAGCGGAAUUCCUAGUGUAGCGGUGAAAUGCGUAGAUAUUAGGAAGAACACCAGUGGCGAAGGCGGCUUUCUGGACUGAAACUGACGCUGAGGCUCGAAAGCGUGGGGAGCAAACAGGAUUAGAUACCCUGGUAGUCCACGCCGUANACGAUGAGUGCUAGGUGUCGGGGAGGAAUCCUCGGUGCCGCAGCUAACGCAAUAAGCACUCCACCUGGGGAGUACGACCGUCAGGUUGAAACUCAAAAGGAUUUGACGGGGGCCCCGCACAAGCGGUGGGAGCAUGUGGUUUAAUUCGAAGCAACGCGAAAGAACCUUACCAAAGGCUUGACAUCCCGAUAACCGCUAUAGAGAUAGAGCUUCUCUUCGGAGCAUCGGUGACAGGUGGUGCAUGGUUGUCGUCAGCUCGUGUCGUGAGAUGUUGGGUUAAGUCCCGACAACGAGCGCAACCCUUAUCUUCAGUAGCCAUCAUUCAGUUGGGCACUCUGGAGAGACUGCCGUGGAUAACACGGAGGAAGGUGGGGAUGACGUCAAAUCAUCAUGCCCCUUAUGUCUUGGGCUACACACGUGCUACAAUGGCUGGUAACAAAGUGACGCAAGACGGUGACGUUAAGCAAAUCACAAAAACCCAGUCCCAGUUCGGAUUGUAGUCUGCAACUCGACUACAUGAAGCUGGAAUCGCUAGUAAUCGCGAAUCAGCAUGUCGCGGUGAAUACGUUCCCGGGCCUUGUACACACCGCCCGUCACACCAUGGGAGCCGGGGGUACCUGAAGUGCGUAACCAAGAGGAGCGCCCUAGGGUAAAACUGGUGACUGGGGCUA
Molecule: ribosomal RNA, 1439 nt
Filed under: uncultured organism
Description: SSU rRNA
Rfam family: Bacterial small subunit ribosomal RNA
Source: RNAcentral